This 475-nucleotide ribosomal RNA is filed under the name uncultured bacterium. Its description in RNAcentral is "bacterial SSU rRNA". It matches the Rfam family "Bacterial small subunit ribosomal RNA", at positions 38 to 507 of the family's 1533-position model. The record is from RNAcentral.
GACGACGCUGGGCGGCGUGCCUAACACAUGCAAGUCGAGCGGGGUUGAAGCGAGGGGUAACUCGAGUUUCUACCUAGCGGCGGACGGGUGAGUAACGCGUGGGCAACCUGCCUCAAGGACUGGGAUAACAGCUCGAAAGGGCUGCUAAUACCGGAUAAGCCUAUGGCCUCGCAUGGGGCCAUGAGCAAAGGGGAAACCCGCCUUGAGAUGGGCCCGCGUCCCAUCAGCUAGUUGGUGAGGUGAAGGCUCACCAAGGCGACGACGGGUAGCCGGCCUGAGAGGGUGACCGGCCACACUGGGACUGAGACACGGCCCAGACUCCUACGGGGGGCAGCAGUGGGGAAUCUUGCACAAUGGGCGAAAGCCUGAUGCAGCGACGCCGCGUGAGCGAAGAAGGCCUUCGGGUUGUAAAGCUCUGUCUGGAGGGACGAAGGAAGUGACGGUACCUCCGGAGGAAGCCACGGCUAACUACGUG